AACGAUGAACCACAUUCGGUGGGGAUUAGUGGCGAACGGGUGAGUAACACGUGGGCAAUCUGCCCUUCACUCUGGGACAAGCCCUGGAAACGGGGUCUAAUACCGGAUACGACCUGCCAAGGCAUCUUGGUGGGUGGAAAGCUCCGGCGGUGAAGGAUGAGCCCGCGGCCUAUCAGCUUGUUGGUGAGGUAACGGCUCACCAAGGCGACGACGGGUAGCCGGCCUGAGAGGGCGACCGGCCACACUGGGACUGAGACACGGCCCAGACUCCUACGGGAGGCAGCAGUGGGGAAUAUUGCACAAUGGGCGAAAGCCUGAUGCAGCGACGCCGCGUGAGGGAUGACGGCCUUCGGGUUGUAAACCUCUUUCAGCAGGGAAGAAGCGAAAGUGACGGUACCUGCAGAAGAAGCGCCGGCUAACUACGUGCCAGCAGCCGCGGUAAUACGUAGGGCGCAAGCGUUGUCCGGAAUUAUUGGGCGUAAAGAGCUCGUAGGCGGCUUGUCACGUCGGUUGUGAAAGCCCGGGGCUUAACCCCGGGUCUGCAGUCGAUACGGGCAGGCUAGAGUUCGGUAGGGGAGAUCGGAAUUCCUGGUGUAGCGGUGAAAUGCGCAGAUAUCAGGAGGAACACCGGUGGCGAAGGCGGAUCUCUGGGCCGAUACUGACGCUGAGGAGCGAAAGCGUGGGGAGCGAACAGGAUUAGAUACCCUGGUAGUCCACGCCGUAAACGGUGGGCACUAGGUGUGGGCAACAUUCCACGUUGUCCGUGCCGCAGCUAACGCAUUAAGUGCCCCGCCUGGGGAGUAC
Molecule: ribosomal RNA, 804 nt
Filed under: Streptomyces sp.
Lineage: Bacteria; Bacillati; Actinomycetota; Actinomycetes; Kitasatosporales; Streptomycetaceae
Description: bacterial SSU rRNA
Rfam family: Bacterial small subunit ribosomal RNA
Source: RNAcentral